GCGCCCGUAGCUCAGCCGGAUAGAGCACUUGAUUCCUAAUCAAGGGGUCGCAGGUUCGAGUCCUGCCGGGCGCGCCA
Molecule: transfer RNA, 77 nt
Filed under: Rhodospirillaceae bacterium
Lineage: Bacteria; Pseudomonadati; Pseudomonadota; Alphaproteobacteria; Rhodospirillales; Rhodospirillaceae
Also listed under: 4 other names
Description: tRNA-Arg
Rfam family: tRNA
About the family: Transfer RNA (tRNA) molecules are approximately 80 nucleotides in length. Their secondary structure includes four short double-helical elements and three loops (D, anti-codon, and T loops).
Source: RNAcentral